CGGCGACUGUCGGGAGCAUCUCGCGGCUGGUUUACCGGAGUCACGACGACAACAAUAUUAUCGUUAUAAAAUAUUGUAAAAUAUAUGACGCUAUCGUUCGCCUUCAGUUAUAAAAUACGAUGAUACGAUGACGCUCUGUGUGUAUGUGCACGUAAAGCCGAAUCGAUGCGAAUAUCAUACGGCGGGCGCACAAGUCGGUUCGUCCGGCGGCGGAAUCGGCUGAUGGUCGUCGACGACGGAGUUGGCUGACAGUCGGCUGAGACAGACGCGCGGAUCACGUGACGAGAGGACGAGACGAAGCGGACCACGGGCGCACAGGAUCGGCGGCACCGGUGUUAUAUACGCUCCGGCCGGCCGUCGCGCGACUGUUGGAAACGCGUUAGCGCACGCGAUAACGCGGCCGCGGAGGAGAACACACACGCGCGCAGCCUUGAACGGACGGCGCCGGCCGUAUCUAAGGUUACGCAGCCGUCAGAUGGAGGAGCAACUGAGACAGUCCCCCCCUCAACCUGUUUCUGCAGAUUUGGGCUACUGAAUAAAUAGUGUGUGCCUACUAAAAAUUCACUUUUCGGUAAGUUUACCUACCUGUUAAUUAAUAAACGCAUAUGAAUUUGAAAA
Molecule: long non-coding RNA, 618 nt
Organism: Myzus persicae (green peach aphid)
Lineage: Eukaryota; Metazoa; Arthropoda; Insecta; Hemiptera; Aphididae
Exons: 2
Source: RefSeq, a predicted model, not a curated record